GGGUGAUUAGCUCAGCUGGGAGAGCACCUCCCUUACCAAGGAGGGGGUCGGCGGUUCGAUCCCGUCAUCACCCACCA
This 77-nucleotide transfer RNA is filed under the name Salmonella enterica subsp. enterica serovar Tennessee. RNAcentral's name for it is "tRNA-OTHER". It matches the Rfam family "tRNA". Rfam says of the family: Transfer RNA (tRNA) molecules are approximately 80 nucleotides in length. Their secondary structure includes four short double-helical elements and three loops (D, anti-codon, and T loops). Further hydrogen bonds mediate the characteristic L-shaped molecular structure. tRNAs have two regions of fundamental functional importance: the anti-codon, which is responsible for specific mRNA codon recognition, and the 3' end, to which the tRNAs corresponding amino acid is attached (by aminoacyl-tRNA synthetases). tRNAs cope with the degeneracy of the genetic code in two manners: having more than one tRNA (with a specific anti-codon) for a particular amino acid; and 'wobble' base-pairing, i.e. permitting non-standard base-pairing at the 3rd anti-codon position. The record is from RNAcentral. Lineage: Bacteria; Pseudomonadati; Pseudomonadota; Gammaproteobacteria; Enterobacterales; Enterobacteriaceae.